Molecule: ribosomal RNA, 466 nt
Filed under: uncultured bacterium
Lineage: Bacteria
Description: bacterial SSU rRNA
Rfam family: Bacterial small subunit ribosomal RNA
Source: RNAcentral
UGGGCUUGACAUCCCACGAACCUGGCGAAAGUCGGGAGUGCCCGCAAGGGAGCGCAGAGACAGGUGGUGCAUGGCUGUCGUCAGCUCGUGUCGUGAGAUGUUGGGUUAAGUCCCGCAACGAGCGCAACCCUCACCCUUUGUUGCCAUCAGGUCACGCUGGGCACUCUAAGGGAACUGCCCCGGUUAACGGGGAGGAAGGUGGGGAUGACGUCAAGUCAUCAUGCCCCUUACGCUCUGGGCUACACACGUGCUACAAUGGCCAAUACAAAGGGCUGCGAACCCGCGAGGGGGAGCUAAUCCCAAAAAGUUGGUCUCAGUUCAGAUUGUAGGCUGCGACCCGCCUACAUGAAGGAGGAAUCGCUAGUAAUCGUGGAUCAGCAUGCCACGGUGAAUACGUUCCCGGGCCUUGUACACACCGCCCGUCACACCACGAAAGUCUGCUGUACUCGAAGUCGCUGAGAAUCUC